This 304-nucleotide ribosomal RNA is filed under the name uncultured bacterium. RNAcentral describes it as "partial 16S ribosomal RNA". It matches the Rfam family "Bacterial small subunit ribosomal RNA", at positions 506 to 807 of the family's 1533-position model. The record is from RNAcentral.
CAGCAGUAGCCGCGGUAAUACAGAGGGUGCAAGCGUUAAUCGGAAUUACUGGGCGUAAAGCGCGCGUAGGUGGUUUGUUAAGUUGGAUGUGAAAUCCCCGGGCUCAACCUGGGAACUGCAUCCAAAACUGGCAAGCUAGAGUAUGGUAGAGGGUGGUGGAAUUUCCUGUGUAGCGGUGAAAUGCGUAGAUAUAGGAAGGAACACCAGUGGCGAAGGCGACCACCUGGACUGAUACUGACACUGAGGUGCGAAAGCGUGGGGAGCAAACAGGAUUAGAGACCCGCGUAGUCCCUGUCUCUUAUAC